CGAGCGGUAACAGGGGAGCUUGCUCCUGCUGACGAGCGGCGGACGGGUGAGUAACGCGUAGGAAUCUGCCUAGUAGAGGGGGACAACAUGUGGAAACGCAUGCUAAUACCGCAUACGCCCUGAGGGGGAAAGGAGGGGACUCUUCGGAGCCUUCCGCUAUUAGAUGAGCCUGCGUGAGAUUAGCUAGUUGGUAGGGUAAAGGCCUACCAAGGCGACGAUCUCUAACUGGUCUGAGAGGAUGACCAGUCACACUGGGACUGAGACACGGCCCAGACUCCUACGGGAGGCAGCAGUGGGGAAUAUUGGACAAUGGGCGCAAGCCUGAUCCAGCCAUGCCGCGUGUGUGAAGAAGGCCUUAGGGUUGUAAAGCACUUUCAGGGGUGAGGAAGAGUAGUGGAUUAAUACUUCAUUGCUUUGACGUUAGCCCCAGAAGAAGCACCGGCUAACUCUGUGCCAGCAGCCGCGGUAAUACAGAGGGUGCAAGCGUUAAUCGGAAUUACUGGGCGUAAAGCGCGCGUAGGUGGUUUGUUAAGUCGGAUGUGAAUCCCAGGGCUCAACCUUGGAAUGGCACCCGAUACUGGCUAGCUAG
This 589-nucleotide ribosomal RNA is filed under the name bacterium IH3-15. RNAcentral's name for it is "bacterial SSU rRNA". It matches the Rfam family "Bacterial small subunit ribosomal RNA", at positions 63 to 644 of the family's 1533-position model. The record is from RNAcentral.